UGACCGUGCGAAGGUAGCAUAAUCAUUAGUCUUUUAAUUGAAGGCUUGUAUGAAUGAUUGAAUGAGAGGUAAGCUGUCUUUAUCAGUUAAAUUGAAUUUGACUUUUGAGUGAAAAGGCUCAAAUGAACUAAAGGGACGAUAAGACCCUAUAAAGUUUUACAUUAAUUUUUUGAAAUGUAAAUUAUAAGUUUAAAAUUAAUUAAAAAUGAAAUGUUUACGUUGGGGCGACAAAAAUAUAAUUAAUAUUAACUGUUUUAUUAAUAGAGCCAAAGGUGUUUGGGUGGGAGACUUUUUAUUAAAGUGGUAGAGUAAGUUACUUUAGGGAUAACAGCGUAAUUUUUUUUAAGAGUUCUUAUCGACAAAAAAGUUUGCGACCUCGAUGUUGAAUUAAAGAGUCUUUACAGUGCAGAAGCUGUAGGAGAAGGUCUGUUCGACUUUUAAAUCUUUACAUGAUUUGAGUUCAAACCGGA
This 470-nucleotide ribosomal RNA is filed under the name Virilastacus rucapihuelensis. RNAcentral's name for it is "partial 16S ribosomal RNA". It matches the Rfam family "Bacterial large subunit ribosomal RNA", at positions 1943 to 2620 of the family's 2925-position model. The record is from RNAcentral. Lineage: Eukaryota; Metazoa; Arthropoda; Malacostraca; Decapoda; Parastacidae.